This 119-nucleotide ribosomal RNA is filed under the name Scophthalmus maximus (turbot). The record is from RNAcentral. Lineage: Eukaryota; Metazoa; Chordata; Actinopteri; Pleuronectiformes; Scophthalmidae.
GGUUAAGGCCACACCGCCUGGUUCACGCCCGAUCUUGUUUGAUCUCGGAAGAUAAGAUAGGUUGGGCCUGGUUAGUACUUGGAUGGGAGACCGCCUGGGAAUACCAGGUGCUGUAACUU